Molecule: ribosomal RNA, 464 nt
Filed under: uncultured bacterium
Lineage: Bacteria
Description: bacterial SSU rRNA
Rfam family: Bacterial small subunit ribosomal RNA
Source: RNAcentral
GGAGGAAGCAGGGGAUCGCAAGACCUUGCGCUUUUGGAGCGGCCGAUGCCUGAUUAGCUUGUUGGUGAGGUAAAAGCUCACCAAGGCUUCGAUCAGUAGCUGGUCUGAGAGGACGACCAGCCACACUGGGACUGAGACACGGCCCAGACUCCUACGGGAGGCAGCAGUGGGGAAUUUUGGACAAUGGGGGCAACCCUGAUCCAUCCAUGCCGCGUGAGUGAAGAAGGCCUUCGGGUUGUAAAGCUCUUUCAGCCGGAACGAAACGGUUACGGUUAAUACCCGUGACUACUGACGGUACCGGAAGAAGAAGCACCGGCUAACUACGUGCCAGCAGCCGCGGUAAUACGUAGGGUGCGAGCGUUAAUCGGAAUUACUGGGCGUAAAGCGUGCGCAGGUGGUUUUGUAAGUCAGAUGUGAAAUCCCCGGGCUUAACCUGGGAACUGCGUUUGAAACUACAAGGCUAG